RNAcentral lists this ribosomal RNA (253 nucleotides) under uncultured bacterium. RNAcentral's name for it is "partial 16S ribosomal RNA". It matches the Rfam family "Bacterial small subunit ribosomal RNA", at positions 524 to 776 of the family's 1533-position model. The record is from RNAcentral.
UACGUAGGGGGCAAGCGUUGUCCGGAAUCAUUGGGCGUAAAGAGCGCGUAGGCGGUCCGGUAAGUCCGCUCUGAAAGCCCGGGGCUCAACCCCGGGAGGCGGGCGGAUACUGUCGGGCUAGAGUCCGGAAGAGGCGAGUGGAAUUCCUGGUGUAGCGGUGAAAUGCGCAGAUAUCAGGAGGAACACCGGUGGCGAAGGCGGGUCUCUGGGCAGUAACUGACGCUGAGGAGCGAAAGCGUGGGGAGCGAACAGG